UACGGAGGGUGCAAGCGUUAUCCGGAUUCACUGGGUUUAAAGGGUGCGUAGGCGGGUAGGUAAGUCCGUGGUGAAAUCUCUGAGCUUAACUCAGAAACUGCCGUGGAUACUAUUUGCCUUGAAUAUUGUGGAGGUGAGCGGAAUAUGUCAUGUAGCGGUGAAAUGCUUAGAUAUGACAUAGAACACCAAUUGCGAAGGCAGCUCACUACACAAUGAUUGACGCUGAGGCACGAAAGCGUGGGGAGUCAAACAGG
RNAcentral lists this ribosomal RNA (254 nucleotides) under uncultured bacterium. RNAcentral describes it as "partial 16S ribosomal RNA". It matches the Rfam family "Bacterial small subunit ribosomal RNA", at positions 524 to 776 of the family's 1533-position model. The record is from RNAcentral.